Molecule: ribosomal RNA, 522 nt
Filed under: Triticum aestivum (bread wheat)
Lineage: Eukaryota; Viridiplantae; Streptophyta; Magnoliopsida; Poales; Poaceae
Description: partial small subunit ribosomal RNA
Source: RNAcentral
AUGCAACUCUACUAUCUUGAUUUUGUUGACCAGCCCAAUUUUUGCUACCACCGCUUUCAAUUUUUGAUAGAACUAGCAUUUUUUUGCUACCACUGUUUUUUGUUUUUGCUGGAACCAGCCCCAAUUUUGCUUCCACCGGCUUCGAGUUUUGCUGGAACCAGCCUCAAUUUUGCUUCCACCGGCUUCGAUUUUUGCUGGAACCAGUCCCAAUUUUGCUUUCACCAGCUUCGAUUUUUGCUGGAACCAACCCCAAUUUUGCUUCCACCGGCUUCGAUUUUUGCUGGAACCAGCCCCAAUUUUGCUUUCACCAGCUUCGAUUUUUGCUGGAACCAACCCCAAUUUUGCUUCCACCGGCUUCGAUUUUUGCUGGAACCAGCCCCAAUUUUGCUUCCACCGGCUUCGAUUUUUGCUGGAACCAGCCCCAAUUUUGCUUCCACCGCCUUCGAUUUUUGCUGGAACCAGCAAUCCUUUGUUUUUUCUACCAUCGGCUUUGUAUGCAAGCGAUGCCGCCGUCACCAUUGA